This 503-nucleotide ribosomal RNA is filed under the name uncultured bacterium. RNAcentral describes it as "partial 16S ribosomal RNA". It matches the Rfam family "Bacterial small subunit ribosomal RNA", at positions 28 to 507 of the family's 1533-position model. The record is from RNAcentral.
GACGAACGCUGGCGGCGUGCUUAACACAUGCAAGUCGAACGGUGAAGCGCUUUCCUUUUUGGUUGGUGUGGAUGAGUGGCGAACGGGUGAGUAACACGUGAGUAACCUGCCCCCUUCUUCUGGAUAACCGCAUGAAAGUGUGGCUAAUACGGGAUAUUCUGCGCCUGCUGCAUGGUGGGUGUGGGAAAGAUUGUGCCUUUGGGUGUUUUCGGUGGGGGAUGGGCUCGCGGCCUAUCAGCUUGUUGGUGGGGUGAUGGCCUACCAAGGCGGUGACGGGUAGCCGGCCGGAGAGGGUGGACGGUCACACUGGGACUGAGACACGGCCCAGACUCCUACGGGAGGCAGCAGUGGGGAAUAUUGCACAAUGGGCGCAAGCCUGAUGCAGCGACGCCGCGUGAGGGAUGGAGGCCUUCGGGUUGUGAACCUCUUUCGCCAGUGAAGCAGGCCUGCUCCGUGUGGGUGGGUUGACGGUAGCUGGAUAAGAAGCGCCGGCUAACUACGUG